RNAcentral lists this ribosomal RNA (1058 nucleotides) under Salmonella enterica subsp. enterica serovar Anatum. RNAcentral's name for it is "partial 23S ribosomal RNA". It matches the Rfam family "Bacterial large subunit ribosomal RNA", at positions 1114 to 2162 of the family's 2925-position model. The record is from RNAcentral. Lineage: Bacteria; Pseudomonadati; Pseudomonadota; Gammaproteobacteria; Enterobacterales; Enterobacteriaceae.
AGCCAUCAUUUAAAGAAAGCGUAAUAGCUCACUGGUCGAGUCGGCCUGCGCGGAAGAUGUAACGGGGCUAAACCAUGCACCGAAGCUGCGGCAGCGACACUCAGGUGUUGUUGGGUAGGGGAGCGUUCUGUAAGCCUGUGAAGGUGGCCUGUGAGGGUUGCUGGAGGUAUCAGAAGUGCGAAUGCUGACAUAAGUAACGAUAAAGCGGGUGAAAAGCCCGCUCGCCGGAAGACCAAGGGUUCCUGUCCAACGUUAAUCGGGGCAGGGUGAGUCGACCCCUAAGGCGAGGCCGAAAGGCGUAGUCGAUGGGAAACGGGUUAAUAUUCCCGUACUUGGUGUUACUGCGAAGGGGGGACGGAGAAGGCUAUGUUGGCCGGGCGACGGUUGUCCCGGUUUAAGCGUGUAGGUGUGUGUUCCAGGUAAAUCCGGAACACUGAGGCGUGAUGACGAGGCACUACGGUGCUGAAGCAACAAAUGCCCUGCUUCCAGGAAAAGCCUCUAAGCAUCAGGUAACAUCAAAUCGUACCCCAAACCGACACAGGUGGUCAGGUAGAGAAUACCAAGGCGCUUGAGAGAACUCGGGUGAAGGAACUAGGCAAAAUGGUGCCGUAACUUCGGGAGAAGGCACGCUGACACGUAGGUGAAGUGAUUUACUCAUGGAGCUGAAGUCAGUCGAAGAUACCAGCUGGCUGCAACUGUUUAUUAAAAACACAGCACUGUGCAAACACGAAAGUGGACGUAUACGGUGUGACGCCUGCCCGGUGCCGGAAGGUUAAUUGAUGGGGUCAGCGCAAGCGAAGCUCCUGAUCGAAGCCCCGGUAAACGGCGGCCGUAACUAUAACGGUCCUAAGGUAGCGAAAUUCCUUGUCGGGUAAGUUCCGACCUGCACGAAUGGCGUAAUGAUGGCCAGGCUGUCUCCACCCGAGACUCAGUGAAAUUGAACUCGCUGUGAAGAUGCAGUGUACCCGCGGCAAGACGGAAAGACCCCGUGAACCUUUACUAUAGCUUGACACUGAACAUUGAGCCUUGAUGUGUAGGAUAGGUGGGAGGCUUUGAAG